AGUGAACGCUGGCGGUAGGCCUAACACAUGCAAGUCGAACGGCAGCACAGUAAGAGCUUGCUCUUACGGGUGGCGAGUGGCGGACGGGUGAGGAAUACAUCGGAAUCUACUUUUUCGUGGGGGAUAACGUAGGGAAACUUACGCUAAUACCGCAUACGACCUACGGUUGAAAGCAGGGGAUCUUCGGACCUUGCGCGAUUGAAUGAGCCGAUGUCGGAUUAGCUAGUUGGCGGGGUAAAGGCCCACCAAGUCGACGAUCCGUAGCUGGUCUGAGAGGAUGAUCAGACACACUGGAACAGAGACACGAACCAGACUCCUACGGGAGGCAGCAGUGGCGAUUAUUGGACUAUGGGCGCAAGCCUGAUCCAGCCAAACCGCGUGAGUGAAGAAGGCCUUCGGGUUGUAAAGCCCUUUUGUUGGGAAAGAAAAGCAGCAGGUUAAUACCCCGCUGUUCUGACGGUACCCAAAGAAUAAGCACCGGCUAACUUCGUG
This 492-nucleotide ribosomal RNA is filed under the name uncultured bacterium. RNAcentral describes it as "partial 16S ribosomal RNA". It matches the Rfam family "Bacterial small subunit ribosomal RNA", at positions 29 to 507 of the family's 1533-position model. The record is from RNAcentral.